Molecule: ribosomal RNA, 459 nt
Filed under: Funneliformis coronatus
Lineage: Eukaryota; Fungi; Glomeromycota; Glomeromycetes; Glomerales; Glomeraceae
Description: LSU rRNA
Rfam family: Eukaryotic large subunit ribosomal RNA
Source: RNAcentral
GGAAAGAUGAAAAGGAACUUUGAAAAGAGAGUUAAACAGUACGUGAAAUUGUUGAAAGGGAAACGAUUGAAGCCAGUCGUACCGGUGGGUAAUCAGCCUUUCGGCGUGAUUAUGUGGAGCGUGAGGAGUUAAACGCCCUCAUGGCCUGCAUAUUCGUGUUCUUUGGGUGUACCUACCCGCAUGGUAGGUUAACAUCAAUUUCGAACGUCAUAAAAUGGUUGGGGGAAUGUAGCUUCGAUCUCGUAUUGAAGUGUUAUAGACUCCGGCGGAUGUGAUGAUCGGGAUUGAGGAUUGCAACGGAUACCCUUCGGGGCUACCCGUCUGAUCUCUGAAGGUUGCUCUGGUGCCGAAAGCUCGCUUACGGUCAUCAAAGUUGACAUUCAACAGGUUAGAACGGGAUAAAUUCGUUAAGGAUGUUGACGUAAUGGCUUUAAACGACCCGUCUUGAAACACGGACCA